GCGACCUCAGCUCAGGCGGGGCUACCCGCUGA
This 32-nucleotide ribosomal RNA is filed under the name Daniellia klainei. RNAcentral's name for it is "partial 26S ribosomal RNA". The record is from RNAcentral. Lineage: Eukaryota; Viridiplantae; Streptophyta; Magnoliopsida; Fabales; Fabaceae.